AUGACACCCCAAGGCCACCGCGGGUGUCAGCUACACGGUCUUCCAAAGGCCAGAAGGAACCCGAUUAUCUUAAGUCACUCAAGGUGGAGAAUACAGCCUCUCUGGUCACGUUUCCUGCCAUGUGACCAAGUGCAGAGCAAAAGAUUAUGAGCUUCAUGAAGGUAAAACAGAGUUUUAGCCUGUACACACCUCUGGUCCUCCAAACCCUGGCACAAUGUCCGAUAAACGAUCAGUUCUCAGGCAAAA
Molecule: long non-coding RNA, 246 nt
Filed under: Fukomys damarensis (Damara mole-rat)
Lineage: Eukaryota; Metazoa; Chordata; Mammalia; Rodentia; Bathyergidae
Description: lncRNA (ENSFDAG00000024274.1)
Source: RNAcentral